CUUUCAUAGUGUCCCACAGGUUUGGGUACAUUUUGCCUUCAUUUUUGUUGAAUUCUGGGAAAUCUGUAAUUUAUUUACUUCUUCCUGGACACAGGGGUGAUUCAAUAGAACACUGUUUAAUUUCCAUUUGUUCGUGGACUUUCUAAAAUUAGUGUUGCUGUUGAAUUCUAAUUUUAAACCUUGGUGAUCUGGAGCAAUUUGCAGUUCUGAACAAGUCAAAAUUCUCUUUACUUCAUCAAACACUUUUCUAAGAUAUCUGCAUCUGAAUCAGCUAGAAAGAUAUCAUCCAUAUAAUGGCAAAUUAUACACUGUACAUGAAUUAUUUCUAAUGACUGUUGUACAAAACAUUGACACAAGGUGGAGCUAUUUAAAAUUCCUUGGGGAGGAAAUUUUCCGCUGAUAUCUUUUAACGGGCUGGGAGUUAUUAAAAAUAGGCAAAGGGAAGGCAAAUUUUUCUCUGUCCUGCUCUCAAAAAUGUGUGAUGUAAAAAACAGUUCUUUAAAUCAAUCACUAUAAUAGACCAUCAUUGAAGUAAAAAGGAAGGCAAGAGAAUUUCACACUGUAAAGUGCCCAUUGGCUGGACCACUUUAUUAAUAUCUCUCUGAUAAGCUAUUGUUCUCCACUUUCCAGAUUUCUGUUUAAUGACAUUCUAGGAGAAUUUCAAGGACUGGUCGACUCCUCAGUGUGUUUACCAUGUAGCUGCUCCUGUAUCAGCUGCUCUAGUGCCUGCAAUUUUUCUGAGGUCAAAGGCCAUUGUUCCAUCCACUCAGGGUUGUCAGCUAACCAUUUUAAAGGUAGGGUAGUUGGUGCCUUUGUGUUCUGCUUGUGAGCAACCUGAAGGCCUCUUACUGUUCCUGAUAACACUUUUUAAGAUUUUUCUCAGAGCAUUCUUUAUUUUAUGGUUUGUUUAUGAAAUUGGAGGAUUAAUCUGUGUUUUCCAUUGCUGUAACAAAUAAUGUCCCAAUAAAUUCAUCUUUAUAUUAGUCACAUAUGCCUUUAAUUUUCCUAUAUAUUUGACCCAUCCUAUACUUUAUCUUAUGUAGAUAAAGUUUCAAUUGCUAGAAGCUGAACAUUUACCUCCUGACAAAGCCAAUCUGGAGGCCAAGAUUUUGGUGAACUUGUUGUUACAUCUAUCCUCAUGUGAACCAAAACUUCAGUUUCAAAGUCAUUUAUUCAUAUUUUAAGCUUUGGUGUUUGGUCAUUUAUAACAGUUUAUCAAAAUAUUUGUUGUAUGUUCUCUCCUGAAUUUUUUAUCUACUAAAGCUGUUCUGUCCUUGAUUACAUCCAGAGUAGUGCUGUUUUUAACGCGAGACAUUAAGUCUUUUAACUGCUCUGUGGACAAGUUUCUCCAGUGUUGUCAGGCAAUGAUUGAACAAAAUUUGAUACUGGGUCCUGUGAGAGGCCCCUCUAAAGCAUUUCCCAAUGGCAAAGGGUUACCUUGCCUGUCUCUUAUUGAUCUAAAUCUAUUAAUCUAAUGCCAGACUUAGCCAAACCUUCUGUGUAUUCAAGGGGGCUGUGGCCUUCUUUUUGAACUAUGUCAAGAAAAAGUAUUGUUUCUAGUAAUGCUUUGCCUACAAUCCUUUUCAAGUGGCCUUAUUUACCAUGAUUAAAACAUCUGACAUUUUGAUUUUUCUUAUAAUUUUUAAAAAUCACUUCUGCUAUCAAAGUAGCAUUGUAAGUGUGAUCUCACUUUUGCAUUCAGAAUUAGCAUUUUCAAAAGCCAAAGAUUCAAUUAAUAUUUGUCUGGUUACUGGAUCUGAUAUCAUUCUAUUUAAAGCUGAACUCAAUCUUUGCCAAAAAAGAAAGUGAAGGCUCCUGCUGGGCCUUGUAUAAUUUUAGUAAAUGACUCAACCCUCUUUCCUGAUUUUUCAACCUUGUCCCAAGUAUUUAAGGCUGCUGGACAACAUAGGCCAAGGUGUGAUCAUCAGCUUCACACUGUUCUUGCUCAUCAGAAUACUGACUGAGACACUGGUCUUGGGGACAUCAACACCUCUGGCUCUAGUUCAUUGUUCUAUGGCCCUCGCUUCCUCUGUCCACCUUGUCCUCCAUUGUAACUGAGGACCAGCUUCUAAUAUUGCUAUAGCUAAAUCUUUCCAAUCUUGGUGGAUAAGCUGCCCAUCAAUUUAACCUCUCCUCUUGCUUUGGAUAAAGUGGCUUGAGAAAGUUUGGGAACACACAGGGACAUCUCUGAAAAAAUUUAGAUGGGAUGAAAGUCCUCCCAGUGGGGCUCCCCAGGGAAGGAGAGCACAUGGAUGAAGAGCUGGACCGACUCUCGCUUGAGCCUGUUGAAUGCAUUCAUGCUAGGUGCAAUGAAAAACCUCCCAGAGCUAGGAGAAGAAAAAGACACCCCAUAUAGACCUUGAAAACGGCUAUUCUUCCCUUUGUUGUACAAGUAUGUAAACCAUAUCUUCAUGCAGAUAUUUAUAACUAUUCUUUUCCCACAAAGACUCAGCAAGGUCCCUGUUUACUGUCCCGUGAAAUGCCAUGCUAGAACCCAGAGCAAGCUAGCUGGGCCUGUGUAAGCAGCAGGAACGAUGGUGUUGAUGUGGAUUCACGUCCAGAAAAAAGGAGGUGAAAAGCUUCUGAAAGAAUGUUUCAGUCUCACCAAAGCUCCUCUCCACUGACCACCAUCUCAGAGCUUCUGUUCUCCAGACCUGUGGGCUGUCCUUCAGAUGUGUCCAGAGGUCCUCCUAGCUCAGAGUCUGUCAUUCUUAGAAAAAUUCCAUGCAUGUCCAAAAGCAUAUCUCAUAUCUGAGCAGCUACACUCACAAGAGCAAGUGAAAGCAGGGAGAGACAGAAAUGAAGAGGACACGAUAAAUCUACCAGAGGCAGCGCUGCCUUGAGCUGAGCUACGCUGGAUACAGAACUCACAGCAAAGACAAAAAGCUUUGCAUCCGCACAGAACCAGGAACCCCACAGCGUGACAAGGCGUGCUAGGAUAAACAGGUAAUGGUUCACUUGUCGGCUGUGUCCGAAGUGUCACUUAAUCUGGCCACUGAGAUUCUGACCACUGUAAUGGCUUUUGGGGGAGGCUGGCUUCUCAUUAACAGUCCUGUUCAGAUGCCAUGGGACACCCCCCUUCCCGCGGGAUGGAUACCAAGCUGGUAUGCACCACCAGGAUGUGAAAGAAUGAGAGGAACGCUUGCUGACGCGGGUAAGGAGCCAGUGCAGGAUCGCUUGCUGACGCGGGUGAGGAACCCCGUGCAGAAAUGCGCUGCUGCGGGUAAGGAGCCCCGUGCAGGAACGCUGGCUGCUGCGGUUAAGGAUCUCACCACAGAGACUUUGCGAAGCUGAGCUCUGUGAACAAAGAAAGCAGGUCUGUGAAGGAAGCAAGGCAGACUCUACAGGGAAAACUGGAACUCUAGAGACUUGGGCGCAUCUUUCAACAUGUGGAAUUUGAGGUCAUGGUCCACAUGUAAAAACCAAACCAAACCAAAAUACAGCAGAAUGCGUCUUGCACAUAACUCAUUCUAGUCACCGAAGGAGCUGAGUCAGAGCUACUUAGCAGUUUUGGUUGCUUUCUGCUAAGAUUCUGGUGGCAGGUAUGGCAGAGGAUUAUUUUAUUAAACCACAACAAGAACAGAUUCUGAAAGAGCAUUAAGCGCUACAUGAAGGGGCAGCAGGGCGUAUUAAAGCUGUCAUGCCCUUGUGCCUAGGGACCCUUGCUCUGUUUUGAUGAUGUUUUCAUUUGCAGGAGUAAGUUCUUCGUUUGCUCAUGGCCGGUGCCGUGGGGGCGGUGGUGUCUCCAUGCACAAAGAGUGGUAGAGUCAUCCUGCCUCUGCAUUUUCACACAAAACAGACUCGCCCAGGGCAAGACUCAGCCUGAAAGCCACUGUCACACAGCGCAGAGCGACUUAGAGCUUGACUGUGACUUAGUCAAGGCACAGCUGGGUUUCCACACAACCAUUGCCCAGAGCGUGGGAGACGACACGUGGCUAAGAGCUACAUGGACCCCUGAGAUCUCUGCGGAGAGAGUUCAGCUCCCCUGGGCCAGAGGAAGGCCGAUAGAAACCAGAGCAAAGUCUCCUUUUCCCUCCAUUAGCCUUUGAAUCUUUCUAUGAUGUCUCCUGCUGGCAAACAAAACACCCAAGAAACAAGCUGACAAGAUCAUCUGGGAUGUGUACUCUUUAGAGUCCUGGUUCCAGAAGUCUAGAGAAGCCCUCUAAAGGGUAUGUCUGGGGGCAGGUAACAUAGGUGACCACGUAUUCCUGCUCCUGUGUCUACUCUGUAAUCUCUUGUUCAUGCAGUGGUCUCUAGUAUGUUGUGGGAAUUCAUUCCGCCAAUAGUUUUGGGGUACAAGUCUUUGGACAUGACUUCUGUGUGCAGGCAUGAUCUCUUAUAAGGAAGAGGAAGGGGCUCUCUUGGGCUCUUGGGUUGUGGUCAGAGAUUGGACCACUGCAUCCAUUGACCCCAGGGCAGAAUGGAAGACCAGGGUAGCUCCCUACCUUGUUGUUAAUCCUAAGUGUUCCCUAAUAAAUCUGUUAUCUUUUUA
This is a long non-coding RNA of Myodes glareolus (Bank vole), 4492 nucleotides long. RefSeq lists it as uncharacterized. The record is from RefSeq and is a predicted model, not a curated record. NCBI's taxonomy places the organism in Eukaryota, Metazoa, Chordata, Mammalia, Rodentia, Cricetidae.